This 548-nucleotide ribosomal RNA is filed under the name uncultured organism. RNAcentral's name for it is "bacterial SSU rRNA". It matches the Rfam family "Bacterial small subunit ribosomal RNA", at positions 658 to 1203 of the family's 1533-position model. The record is from RNAcentral.
AAAGCGGAACUCUUGGUGUAACGGUGGAAUGUGUAGAUAUCAAGAGGAACUCCGGUGGCGAAGGCGGCUUUCUGGAGGCACACUGAGGCUCAGGCGCGAAAGCGUGGGUAGCAAACAGGAUUAGAUAGCGUGGUAGUCCACGCCAUUAACGAUGGGUACUAGGUGUCGGGGGUAUCGACCCCUCCGGUGCCGCAGUUACCGCACUAAGUACCCCGCCUGGGGAUUAUGGUCGCAAGGCUGAAACUCUAAGGAAUUGACGGGGCCCCGCACAAGCGGUGGAGCAUGUGGUUUAAUUCGACGCAACGCGAAGAACCUUACCCGGGCUUGACAUGCUUGGGACAGCGCUGGAAACAUAGUCUCUCCUUCGGGAGCCCUUGCACAGGUGACACAUGGCUGUUGUCACCUCGUGUCGUGAGAUGUUGGGUUAAGUCUCGCAACGAGAGCAACCCUACGUUACUAGUUGCCAUCAGUUCGGCUGGGCACUCUAGUGAGACUGCCGGUGCUAAUCCGGAGGAAGGUGAGGAUGAUGUCAAGUCAUCAUGGCCCUU